UUAUUCAUUUUUUUUUCACAUCCAUUACAUUUUUUAAAAAAAAUUGUUGUUAUACUAGACCAUAAAAAGGAACAAUAUUAGUAUUUCAAUUAAAUAAAUUGAAAAAAAUAAUGGAAACUUGAUGAAUUUCAAAACGAGGCUACAACAACAAUUUGUUUUCAAAUUCAAACAAAGACAAAGGAAGGACAUUAUGCACAUCAUAGAAGACAACUCGCAUAGUGAAAAACUGACACUUAAUUUUUGUGUGAUGACAAUUAGCUGCAUGAAAAAACAGUCGGCAGAAAACACCAUUUGGACAUAAAAGAAUGAUAAGUGCAUCAAAUAUAGUUUCAAGGAAAAAAAACAAGUUGAACCUCAAAACAAGUUUGACACAGUGUCUUCGUAGAUGAAAAUAAUCAGGAUCCAGUGGUGGACGUUUAGUAUACCAAAAUUAUUCACAUGGAGGAGUAUAUCUCCAAAUUUAAUACUUUUAAGUUAGUUUUGAAAGAAUAAAGAUAAAAAAUUACUUACUUUCUUUAAAUGUGAAUAUUUAUUUAUUGUUUUGUGUGUUACACUUAAUUUUGACAGAAAGGAAUAUUUUCCCUCACUUGUUACCGAUGAAAUCAACUGCAAAAGAAAGCUUUAUUUUCCAUGAUUUCCAUUUUCUAUGAGUAAUUUAAAAGAAAACCUUUUUAAGCAUGUUGUAAACAUGAAUACUUUAAUUGACAUAUAUUGUAAUAGUUAAUGUAUACUGUAGACCUUUAAAUGAAAAUGAUUUGUU
This is a long non-coding RNA of Ruditapes philippinarum (Manila clam), 760 nucleotides long. RefSeq lists it as uncharacterized. NCBI's taxonomy places the organism in Eukaryota, Metazoa, Mollusca, Bivalvia, Venerida, Veneridae. The record is from RefSeq and is a predicted model, not a curated record. The transcript has 3 exons.